Molecule: ribosomal RNA, 64 nt
Filed under: uncultured bacterium
Lineage: Bacteria
Description: partial 16S ribosomal RNA
Source: RNAcentral
UGGGCUUGACAUCCUGUGGAUUCUAUAGAGAUAUGGAAGUGCCCUUUCGGGGGAACACGGAGAC